Molecule: long non-coding RNA, 478 nt
Filed under: Homo sapiens (human)
Lineage: Eukaryota; Metazoa; Chordata; Mammalia; Primates; Hominidae
Description: HSALNT0107093
Source: RNAcentral
GUGGUAUCUGUUUACUGGUAAAUAAAGCCUUAUCUGCUGGCUUUAGCUAUUUGCUUCCUAUCUCCUACUACAUGGAUUCAUGUUAAUACUGGAAAUGUGAUUAGCCUCCCAUUUGGUACUUGUUUGGUUAUUCUAUAGCUGCUUAGAAACACUUUCUUUUUCUUUCUCUCUUUUUUUUUUUUUUUUUUUUUUGCUGUAGCUAUGGAGAGACUUUGAAGAUAUUCCUGGAUUUCGGGGGUGGGAAACAAAACAAAUUUCAGGCUGAGCACUAUUUAAAAAAGUGUCCCCCCCUACUACUCAGAAGUAAUUUACUUUAUUGUUACUUCCUGUGUUUUGCUAUCAACAACCCCCCAUGACAUCAGCGGCUCUUGGUUAAAAGCUGCUCACGGAUUCCUUGACAGGCUUUUGCUGUUUAAUUGUUUCAGGCUCACUUAAAUACGUCAUAUGCACAGAACCCAUGGGGCUCUCUUGAAUUCUU